RNAcentral lists this ribosomal RNA (1087 nucleotides) under uncultured bacterium. Its description in RNAcentral is "bacterial SSU rRNA". It matches the Rfam family "Bacterial small subunit ribosomal RNA", at positions 61 to 1118 of the family's 1533-position model. The record is from RNAcentral.
GUCGAGCGACAGAUAAGGAGCUUGCUCCUUUGACGUUAGCGGCGGACGGGUGAGUAACACGUGGAUAACCUACCUAUAAGACUGGGAUAACUUCGGGAAACCGGAGCUAAUACCGGAUAACAUAUUGAACCGCAUGGUUCAAUAGUGAAAGGCGGCUUUGCUGUCACUUAUAGAUGGAUCCGCGCCGUAUUAGCUAGUUGGUAAGGUAACGGCUUACCAAGGCAACGAUACGUAGCCGACCUGAGAGGGUGAUCGGCCACACUGGAACUGAGACACGGUCCAGACUCCUACGGGAGGCAGCAGUAGGGAAUCUUCCGCAAUGGGCGAAAGCCUGACGGAGCAACGCCGCGUGAGUGAUGAAGGUCUUCGGAUCGUAAAACUCUGUUAUCAGGGAAGAACAAAUGUGUAAGUAACUGUGCACAUCUUGACGGUACCUGAUCAGAAAGCCACGGCUAACUACGUGCCAGCAGCCGCGGUAAUACGUAGGUGGCAAGCGUUAUCCGGAAUUAUUGGGCGUAAAGCGCGCGUAGGCGGUUUUUUAAGUCUGAUGUGAAAGCCCACGGCUCAACCGUGGAGGGUCAUUGGAAACUGGAAAACUUGAGUGCAGAAGAGGAAAGUGGAAUUCCAUGUGUAGCGGUGAAAUGCGCAGAGAUAUGGAGGAACACCAGUGGCGAAGGCGACUUUCUGGUCUGUAACUGACGCUGAUGUGCGAAAGCGUGGGGAUCAAACAGGAUUAGAUACCCUGGUAGUCCACGCCGUAAACGAUGAGUGCUAAGUGUUAAGGGGGUUUCCGCCCCUUAGUGCUGCAGCUAACGCAUUAAGCACUCCGCCUGGGGGAGUACGACCGCAAGGUUGAAACUCAAAGGAAUUGACGGGGACCCGCACAAGCGGUGGAACCAUGGUGGUUUAAUUCGAAGCAACGCGAAGAACCUUACCAAAUCUUGACAUCCUUUGACCGCUCUAGAAGAUAGAGUCUUCCCCUUCGGGGGACAAAGUGACAGGUGGGGGCAAGGGUUGUCGUCAGCUCGUGUCCUGGAAAAGGUUGGGGUUAAGUCCCGCAACGAGCGCAACCCUUAAGCUUAGUUGC